UGGGGAAUAUUGGACAAUGGGCGCAAGCCUGAUCCAGCCAUGCCGCGUGAGUGAUGAAGGCCCUAGGGUUGUAAAGCUCUUUCACCGGUGAAGAUAAUGACGGUAACCGGAGAAGAAGCCCCGGCUAACUUCGUGCCAGCAGCCGCGGUAAUACGAAGGGGGCUAGCGUUGUUCGGAUUUACUGGGCGUAAAGCGCACGUAGGCGGACUUUUAAGUCAGGGGUGAAAUCCCGGGGCUCAACCCCGGAACUGCCUUUGAUACUGGAAGUCUUGAGUAUGGUAGAGGUGAGUGGAAGUCCGGGUGUAGAGGUGAAAUUCGUAGAUAUGCGGAGGAACACCAGUGGGGGAGGCGGCUCACUGGACCAUUACUGACGCUGAGGUGCGAAAGCGUGGGGAGCAAACAGG
Molecule: ribosomal RNA, 404 nt
Filed under: Verrucomicrobiota bacterium
Lineage: Bacteria; Pseudomonadati; Verrucomicrobiota
Description: Verrucomicrobia bacterium partial 16S ribosomal RNA
Rfam family: Bacterial small subunit ribosomal RNA
Source: RNAcentral